This 266-nucleotide unclassified non-coding RNA is filed under the name Bombus terrestris (buff-tailed bumblebee). Its description in RNAcentral is "misc RNA ENSBTSG00005023402.1". Lineage: Eukaryota; Metazoa; Arthropoda; Insecta; Hymenoptera; Apidae. The record is from RNAcentral.
CAGAAAACGCAUAUAUAUGUCCUUAGUCCACACCGAUAGCUUUCGCCAGACACCUAUAUGCGUCCUUAGUCCAUGCCGGGCACUUACAGAAAACGCAUAUAUAUGUCCUCAGUCCACACCGAUAGCUUUCGCCAGACACCUAUAUGCGCCCACAGCACUCAAAGGGUUAACAAUAGACUGGGACGAAGGUAGACCAUAGGCAGGCGACGAUGGCUUCGGGAUUUUCAGUUAUAGGGCAACACUGCUAGCGUGCGGAUCUGGACCAG